This 497-nucleotide ribosomal RNA is filed under the name uncultured bacterium. Its description in RNAcentral is "partial 16S ribosomal RNA". It matches the Rfam family "Bacterial small subunit ribosomal RNA", at positions 28 to 507 of the family's 1533-position model. The record is from RNAcentral.
GAUGAACGCUGGCGGCGUGCCUAAUACAUGCAAGUCGAGCGAACGGACGAGAAGCUUGCUUUUCUGAUGUUAGCGGCGGACGGGUGAGUAACACGUGGAUAACCUACCUAUAAGACUGGGAUAACUUCGGGAAACCGGAGCUAAUACCGGAUAAUAUUUUGAACCGCAUGGUUCAAAAGUGAAAGACGGUCUUGCUGUCACUUAUAGAUGGAUCCGCGCUGCAUUAGCUAGUUGGUAAGGUAACGGCUUACCAAGGCAACGAUGCAUAGCCGACCUGAGAGGGUGAUCGGCCACCCUGGAACUUGGACACGGUCCAGACUCCUACGGGAGGCAGCAGUAGGGAAUCUUCCGCAAUGGGCGAAAGCCUGACGGAGCAACGCCGCGUGAGUGAUGAAGGUCUUCGGAUCGUAAAACUCUGUUAUUAGGGAAGAACAUAUGUGUAAGUAACUGUGCACAUCUUGACGGUACCUAAUCAGAAAGCCACGGCUAACUACGUG